Small nuclear RNA from Oncorhynchus nerka (sockeye salmon), 189 nucleotides. RefSeq annotates it as U2 spliceosomal RNA. The record is from RefSeq and is a predicted model, not a curated record. The transcript has a single exon. NCBI's taxonomy places the organism in Eukaryota, Metazoa, Chordata, Actinopteri, Salmoniformes, Salmonidae.
AUCGCUUCUGUCCCAUCAGAUCAAGUGUAGUAUCUGUUCUUAUCAGUUUAAUAUCAGAUAAGACAAGCUCGGGGACUACAUAUUUUGUUUCUGGAUUUUUCGAACAGGAACCAGUCGGGAAUGGGGUUCUUGCUCCGUCCGGGACGAUGGUGUGGGACCGGGUCCUUGCAGGAACAGGGGGCAACACUU